Long non-coding RNA from Meriones unguiculatus (Mongolian gerbil), 1211 nucleotides. RefSeq lists it as uncharacterized. The record is from RefSeq and is a predicted model, not a curated record. The transcript has 4 exons. Lineage: Eukaryota; Metazoa; Chordata; Mammalia; Rodentia; Muridae.
UGCUCACGAGUUACUGGAGCAGGGCAGGCAGCUCCAGUGGCCUCAGCUGUGGAGACAGCUGUUUGCCCACCGUCUGUGAUGGCAGAAAUGUGUGGUGGGCUUCUCCAGAACAGCAUGCUCCCCCCAGCCACACAUGUGCUAGCAGGCUCCCACUCACUCACACACACAAACAGUUCCAUGCUGAGCAUCAUAUACUCCAGCACCACCGGAGGGAAAAAAGAAGCCCCAACGGUUUGGGGUCCACAAUGAGGAGCAGAAGCAGAGAGUGACACUGUCCUCCUGUUCUGAAGGGGACGUCUGCGGGACAAAAUGUGGAGGAAGGCCAGCCGCUGAGAACUCAAGUCCGGAAGUGGCCAGCACGUCCUUGUGGAAACCCUCUCUGGUGUUGCUGAGCAGGCCACACCCCUUACAUAUGUCCUUCAACCCACAGAGGGGCCCCCAUUGUGGUAGGUUUACCAAGAUGGAUCGCCUCCCACCAAGACUAUCCACAUCCAGGUUAUCAGACAAAUUGCGCUCAAUAAAUAGUUUCUGAAUAAAUACCUAUUUUAAAUAUCAGAAGCAACAGGUCUUUCACUUGGAAAGAGUCAUUAAGCUUUCCCUCUGUGCACACCUGGGACACACUGCUUGCAGUCCUCAGUGGGCCCCUGCAUAUGGUGAAGAAAGUAUGGGUGCUACUGGAGGUGCUCCAAAGCUGACACAUACCUGCUCAGGAAAGCCAGUUCUUAAGUUCGCAGAAACUUCAUGAGCCAUUUGUUAAAAACAGCCAUUUUGGAGCCAAAAUCCAUACUGCAGGUCUGUAAAUUCCAGGCUGAAGCAGGAGGCUCCGGCACGAUCAUUCAAGCUACAGGCCAGCCUGGGCUAUAGAGCAAACUCUGGCAACAAACAAUCAAAACCUCAGCCACUUAACAGCAACAACAGCAAAUGUUUAAUUUGUACUGAAAUGGAAGAUAGCAUACAUCUGGACUCGUUUCACUGACUUUUGUGUUAUGACUUUGGAGGGUUCUGACACCUACUUACCUGUAUGACGAAGACGUAAUAAAGCCGUGUGCCCUAUGUCUUCCCUUUCAAAGUCUGCAUUAAAAGAUGUCCCAUUCAUAGUUUACUGCGUUAAAUGAGGUCCCAUUCAUAAUCAAUCUUACAAGCAUACUCUUACCCACAACAUCAGAAAACAGAAAAUCAGAGCCUAUUUUUCUUAGAGAGCUGGUUAAUAA